UACUUCCCUAAAGUGAGAAAUGAGAAAGAAACAAAAAAUAGCACCCCUGCGCAAGGAUGACACGCAAAUUCGUGAAGCGUUCCAUAUUUUU
Molecule: small nuclear RNA, 91 nt
Filed under: Neogale vison (American mink)
Lineage: Eukaryota; Metazoa; Chordata; Mammalia; Carnivora; Mustelidae
Source: RNAcentral